This 838-nucleotide ribosomal RNA is filed under the name uncultured organism. RNAcentral describes it as "SSU rRNA". It matches the Rfam family "Bacterial small subunit ribosomal RNA", at positions 618 to 1470 of the family's 1533-position model. The record is from RNAcentral.
AAAUUGCAGUUGAUACUGGGUGUCUUGAGUACAGUAGAGGCAGGCGGAAUUCGUGGUGUAGCGGUGAAAUGCUUAGAUAUCACGAAGAACUACGAUUGCGAAGGCAGCUUGCUGGACUGUAACUGACGCUGAUGCUUGAAAGUGUGGGUAUCAAACAGGAUUAGAUACCCUGGUAGUCCACACAGUAAACGAUGAAUACUCGCUGUUUGCGAUAUACAGUAAGCGGCCAAGCGAAAGCGUUAAGUAUUCCACCUGGGGAGUACGCCGGCAACGGUGAAACUCAAAGGAAUUGACGGGGGCCCGCACAAGCGGAGGAACAUGUGGUUUAAUUCGAUGAUACGCGAGGAACCUUACCCGGGCUUGAAUUGCAACUGAAUGAUGUGGAGACAUGUCAGCCGCAAGGCAGUUGUGAAGGUGCUGCAUGGUUGUCGUCAGCUCGUGCCGUGAGGUGUCGGCUUAAGUGCCAUAACGAGCGCAACCCUUAUCGAUAGUUACCAUCAGGUUAUGCUGGGGACUCUGUCGAGACUGCCGUCGUAAGAUGUGAGGAAGGUGGGGAUGACGUCAAAUCAGCACGGCCCUUACGUCCGGGGCUACACACGUGUUACAAUGGGGGGUACAGAAGGCAGAUACACGGCGACGUGAUGCUAAUCCCGAAAGCCUCUUUCAGUUCGGAUUGGAGUCUGCAACCCGACUCCAUGAAGCUGGAUUCGCUAGUAAUCGCGCAUCAGCCACGGCGCGGUGAAUACGUUCCCGGGCCUUGUACACACCGCCCGUCAAGCCAUGAAAGCCGGGGGUACCUGAAGUGCGUAACCGCAAGGAGCGCCCUAGGGUAAAACUG